GUCCAGCCUAGACAAGUUCUACAACAAAGUCUCCAAAUUGCCCCAUGGUUUUUCAUCUUUUUCUCUGGAAACAAUGUUACUUCAUGCCGUUGGCUACCCACUACACUCUUACCAAGCUGAUAAACAGCAAGAGUUGAAAAGUGACCUUGAUUUACUAGACACAAUGGAGUCCCCACUGACAACAGCAUAGUCGCCGCUGCCACGACCAACGUUUCUGUGGCCUCCGCUGAGACACACGCCGUGAAAGGAGGUCUCCGGUGCCAUGGGACCCAUCUACAGCACAGCUCCUGCAUCCAAGACUCAAGAAGCCUCUUAGAAGAGGGAAGGGGAAAGAUUGUGAGAGCCAGCGGACCAGGAAAUCUGCUGUGAGAUUGUGCCUCCUAGAAAAAGGACAAGGCAGCUUAACCCACGAUGCAUGAUCACAAUUUUAAAAAAAGAUCGUCCCUGGGGCUGGAGAGAUGGUUCAACGCUUGAGAACGCUUGUUUUUCCAGAAGACCUGAGUUCGGUUCCUGGAACCCUUGUUGGCAGCUCACAGUCAACUAUGACUCUACCUCUAUAGAAUGAGGUGCUUUCGACUCUGACCUCCUCAGACACCCUAGCAUACACACACACACACAGAGAGAGAGAGAGAGAGAGAGAGAGAGAGAGAGAGAGAGAGAGAGAGAGAUACACACACAUAGAGCACACACCUCUAAUCCCAGCACUUGGGAGGCAGGGGCAGGUGGAUGCCUGUGAGUUCAAGGCCAGCCUGGCCUACACAGAGAAAGCCCAGGUCUCCACUUUGAGAUCUCCCAUUUAGUCAUAUCACCAAUGUGGCCACAAAGAGUCAAGACCAAAAGGAGAAAAUCCAGAAAGCAGAAAAAUGUGUCUCUGCUGCCUGGCCUGUGGCGUCACUGCAAAAAGACUCUUCAGUGAGAGUGGGGACCUGAUUACCCUAUCUCGUGUCUUUUUGGUUUUGGGUAAGGUAUGUGUGUGUGUGUGUAUGUGGGUGUGUGCGUGUGAGUGCAUGUGCCCACAGAGACUAGAGGUUUCAGAUCUCCUGUAACUGGAUUUACAGGUUGUAAGCUGCCUCACAUGAGUACUAGAAAAGGAAACUCCAGUUGUCUCUAAGAACAAGAAGCACUCCUAGCUGCUGAGCCAGCCGUCCCUCCAGCCCCCACUGGUACUUCUUAAAUACCUAACUGUGUAGUACAAAGAUGGCUCUCAAGUACAUACUGUUGGACGUGUGGAAUGACGGCUGCUGGGACAGAUAUGCAAAUGACCAGUCUUGCUGUGUCCAGCCACCUUCUACUAGCCUGUGGGUAUAAAAACAAACCACCCACCACCCACCACCCACCACCCACCACCCACCACCCACCACCCACCACCCACCACCCACCACCCACCACCCACCACCCCCACCCCGGAAUGGCUACAGUGUCAGAAGGUUUGAAAGUUUCGACACAGGAAGUCUAAACCAAAGGAAGACUUUUUGAAGUGGUGCUCAACCUGAAGUUGUUUUCUUCCUGUCAGGGUCAGGACUGUGUGACUCCCUAAGAACAGAGCAAAGGAAUUCCUAGGUACUAGGAGGCAACCACAGAGACCCAUGUCCUUGGAAAGCAGCUGUUCCUCUUGCUGCAAUGCUGGGAUCUGUCUGUGCAGUAUCAAACCAAAAUCAGAGUGGGCAAGCUAACAGCUAAAGUUCACGUAGACUUUGCCGAUUAUCUAUGAGACCCCACCAAAAUUUGCUUUACAGUAUUGAACUAAGAUUUUUUUUCCUUCUUAAUAAUGGUAAUAAGUCAAACUAAUUGACAUAGGAUAAAAGUUGUAUUGACAUACGAUCUGCAUAUUGUAAGUUUCACGUAUUAUGUGCUCAGUUCAGUGGUUUAGGUAGAAUGGUCGUUUUGUGAGCAUUGUGUCAAUUCAGGAUCUUUGUUUGGAGGGUUUGUCUUUAUUUUUGUUUUUUGUUUGGUUUUGUUGGGUUGCAGUUGUUUGUUUGUUUGUUUGUUUUUUCUGUUGGUUGGUUUUGUCUUGUACUUGUUUGGGGGUGUUUUUGGUUUUGUUUUUGUUUUCUAAGACAGGGUUUCUCUGUGUAGCCCUGGCUGUCCUGGAACUCACUCUGUAGACCAGGCUGGCCUCAAACUCAGAAAUCCACCUGCCUCUGCCUCCCAAGUGCUGGGAUUAAAGGCGUGGGCCACCACUGCCUGGCACGUGUUUGUUUUUUUAAAGACAGGAUCUCAUGGGCUAUUUUUGAGAUUUGACUCUGUGUGUGUGUGUGUGUGUGUGACACAGAUUCAUUUCUUUUAUAUAU
Molecule: long non-coding RNA, 2291 nt
Filed under: Mus musculus (house mouse)
Lineage: Eukaryota; Metazoa; Chordata; Mammalia; Rodentia; Muridae
Description: predicted gene, 32552
Source: RNAcentral